Molecule: ribosomal RNA, 420 nt
Filed under: uncultured bacterium
Lineage: Bacteria
Description: bacterial SSU rRNA
Rfam family: Bacterial small subunit ribosomal RNA
Source: RNAcentral
GGGGAAUAUUGGACAAUGGGCGCAAGCCUGAUCCAGCCACGCCGCGUGAGUGAUGAAGGCCUUCGGGUCGUAAAGCUCUGUGGGGAGGGACGAACGGCGCCAUGAAGAGUGGCGAUUGACGGUACCUCCCUAGCAAGCACCGGCUAACUUCGUGCCAGCAGCCGCGGUAAUACGAAGGGUGCAAACGUUGCUCGGAAUCAUUGGGCGUAAAGCGCACGUAGGCGGCUUUCUAAGUCGGAUGUGAAAUCCCUCGGCUUAACCGAGGACGUGCAUCCGAAACUGGGAGGCUUGAGUAUGGAAGAGGGUCGCAGAAUUCCCGGUGUAGAGGUGAAAUUCGUAGAUAUCGGGAGGAAUACCAGUGGCGAAGGCGGCGACCUGGGCCAAUACUGACGCUGAGGUGCGAAAGCGUGGGGAGCAAAC